GAUGAACGCUGGCGGCGUGCCUAAUACAUGCCAGUCGAGCGAACAGACGAGGAGCUUGCUCCUCUGACGUUAGCGGCGGACGGGUGAGUAACACGUGGAUAACCUACCUAUAAGACUGGGAUAACUUCGGGAAACCGGAGCUAAUACCGGAUAAUAUAUUGAACCGCAUGGUUCAAUAGUGAAAGACGGUUUUGCCGUCACUUAUAGAUGGAUCCGCGCCGCAUUAGCUAGUUGGUAAGGUAACGGCUUACCAAGGCGGCGAUGCGUAGCCGACCUGAGAGGGUGAUCGGCCACACUGGAACUGAGACACGGUCCAGACUCCUACGGGAGGCAGCAGUAGGGAAUCUUCCGCAAUGGGCGAAAGCCUGACGGAGCAACGCCGCGUGAGUGAUGAAGGUCUUCGGAUCGUAAAACUCUGUUAUUAGGGAAGAACAAAUGUGUAAGUAACUAUGCACGUCUUGACGGUACCUAAUCAGAAAGCCACGGCUAACUACGUG
Molecule: ribosomal RNA, 497 nt
Filed under: uncultured bacterium
Lineage: Bacteria
Description: partial 16S ribosomal RNA
Rfam family: Bacterial small subunit ribosomal RNA
Source: RNAcentral